GACGAACGCUGGCGGCGUGCUUAACACAUGCCAGUCGAACGGAAAGGCCCUGCUUUUGUGGGGUGCUCGAGUGGCGAACGGGUGAGUAACACGUGAGUAACCUGCCCUUGACUUUGGGAUAACUUCAGGAAACUGGGGCUAAUACCGGAUAGGAGCUCCUUCUGCAUGGUGGGGGUUGGAAAGUUUCGGCGGUUGGGGAUGGACUCGCGGCUUAUCAGCUUGUUGGUGGGGUAGUGGCUUACCAAGGCUUUGACGGGUAGCCGGCCUGAGAGGGUGACCGGCCCCAUUGGGACUGCGAUACGGCCCAGACUCCUACGGGAGGCAGCAGUGGGGAAUAUUGCGCAAUGGGCGGAAGCCUGAUGCAGCAACGCCGCGUGCGGGAUGACGGCCUUCGGGUUGUAAACCGCUUUCGCCUGUGACGAAGCGUGAGUGACGGUAAUGUGUAAAGAAGCACCGGCUAACUACGUG
RNAcentral lists this ribosomal RNA (468 nucleotides) under uncultured bacterium. RNAcentral's name for it is "partial 16S ribosomal RNA". It matches the Rfam family "Bacterial small subunit ribosomal RNA", at positions 28 to 507 of the family's 1533-position model. The record is from RNAcentral.